Long non-coding RNA from Etheostoma spectabile (orangethroat darter), 306 nucleotides. RefSeq lists it as uncharacterized. The transcript has 3 exons. The record is from RefSeq and is a predicted model, not a curated record. Lineage: Eukaryota; Metazoa; Chordata; Actinopteri; Perciformes; Percidae.
UUUCCAUCUGUUCCUGCGAGACGUUAAACAGGCCGAGUCCUUCCUCAACAACCAGGAGUCGGCCCUCGCUCACGUGGAGCUGCCCACCACGGUGGAAACAGUUGAAGCCUCCAUAAAGAAACACAAGGACUUCACCACCACCAUGGAGCUGAACCUGCACAGGAUCAAAGCUGUGAUCGAGGCUGGAGAGAGUCUGAUCAGCCAGAGUAACAUCUACUCUGACCGCAUCAAGGAACGCAUCGACACCCUCGCCAACCGGGGAAACCAGAACAGAGAGCAGGCCCAGCAGUGGCUGGAAAAACUGAA